Molecule: ribosomal RNA, 432 nt
Filed under: uncultured bacterium
Lineage: Bacteria
Description: partial 16S ribosomal RNA
Rfam family: Bacterial small subunit ribosomal RNA
Source: RNAcentral
AACGAACGCUGGCGGCAUGCCUAACACAUGCAAGUCGAACGAGACCUUCGGGUCUAGUGGCGCACGGGUGCGUAACGCGUGGGAACCUGCCCUUAGGUUCGGAAUAACUCCCCGAAAGGGGUGCUAAUACCGGAUAAUGUCUUCGGACCAAAGAUUUAUCGCCUUUGGAUGGGCCCGCGUUGGAUUAGCUAGUUGGUAGGGUAAAAGCCUACCAAGGCGACGAUCCAUAGCUGGUCUGAGAGGAUGAUCAGCCACACUGGGACUGAGACACGGCCCAGACUCUUCCGGAGGCAGCCGGUGGGAAUAUUUGACCAUGGGCGAAAGCCUGAUCCAGCAAUGCCGCGUGAGUGAUGAAGGCCUUAGGGUUGUAAAGCUCUUUUACCCGGGAUGAUAAUGACAGUACCGGGAGAAUAAGCUCCGGCUAACUCCGUG